CAAAAACAUGUCUUGUAGUACAAAAUUUCAAGUCAGGUCUGCUCUAUGCAAGAAUGUAAAUGGCCGCAGUACUUUGACUGUGCAAAGGUAGCAUGAUAGUUUGCUCUUUAAUUGAGAGAAGGUACGAAUGGCUCCACGAGGGAGGGUCUGUCUCUAGCAAAUUCAGACGAAAUUUCAUUCUGGGUAAAAAUGCCUAGAUUGGUUGGAGGGACGAAAAGACCCUAAGAUCUUACCCUUGAGACCCAAAUUUGCAGGAAUUCAAGGUUUUUUUGGGAAGAAACACACACGUAGAACUGUUGGAAAAGAAAAGGAUUCCAGUCCAAAAUUGAGAACCCAAGAUAGUAUUACGGAUGAAGUUACCUUAGGGAUAACAGCAGAAUACUUACUAUCAAGACCACAUUUUUAGUCAGGGUUCUGACCUCGAUGUUGAAUUAGGGUACCCCCCAAAAGAAGAAGCUUGGGACGUUAGAUUGUUCAUCUAUUAAAACCCUACGUGAUCUGA
This 502-nucleotide ribosomal RNA is filed under the name Pectinopygus bassani. Its description in RNAcentral is "partial 16S ribosomal RNA". It matches the Rfam family "Bacterial large subunit ribosomal RNA", at positions 1808 to 2608 of the family's 2925-position model. Lineage: Eukaryota; Metazoa; Arthropoda; Insecta; Psocodea; Philopteridae. The record is from RNAcentral.